Molecule: transfer RNA, 71 nt
Filed under: Rhipicephalus microplus (southern cattle tick)
Lineage: Eukaryota; Metazoa; Arthropoda; Arachnida; Ixodida; Ixodidae
Description: tRNA-Gly
Rfam family: tRNA
About the family: Transfer RNA (tRNA) molecules are approximately 80 nucleotides in length.
Source: Rfam by way of RNAcentral
GCGCCGGUGGUUCAGUGGUAGAAUACUCGCCUGCCACGCGGGUGACCCGGGUUCGAUUCCCGGCCGACGCA